AGUCGAGCGAACCGACGGGAGCUUGCUCCCUUAGGUUAGCGGCGGACGGGUGAGUAACACGUGGGUAACCUGCCUGUAAGACUGGGAUAACUCCGGGAAACCGGGGCUAAUACCGGAUGCUUGAUUGAACCGCAUGGUUCAAUCAUAAAAGGCGGCUUCGGCUGCCGUUUACAGAUGGACCCGCGGCGCAUUAGCUAGUUGGUGAGGUAACGGCUCACCAAGGCGACGAUGCGUAGCCGACCUGAGAGGGUGAUCGGCCACACUGGGACUGAGACACGGCCCAGACUCCUACGGGAGGCAGCAGUAGGGAAUCUUCCGCAAUGGACGAAAGUCUGACGGAGCAACGCCGCGUGAGUGAUGAAGGUUUUCGGAUCGUAAAGCUCUGUUGUUAGGGAAGAACAAGUACCGUUCGAAUAGGGCGGUACCUUGACGGUACCUAACCAGAAAGCCACGGCUAACUACGUGCCAGCAGCCGCGGUAAUACGUAGGUGGCAAGCGUUGUCCGGAAUUAUUGGGCGUAAAGCGCGCGCAGGCGGUUUCUUAAGUCUGAUGUGAAAGCCCCCGGCUCAACCGGGGAGGGUCAUUGGAAACUGGGGAACUUGAGUGCAGAAGAGGAGAGUGGAAUUCCACGUGUAGCGGUGAAAUGCGUAGAGAUGUGGAGGAACACCAGUGGCGAAGGCGACUCUCUGGUCUGUAACUGACGCUGAGGCGCGAAAGCGUGGGGAGCGAACAGGAUUAGAUACCCUGGUAGUCCACGCCGUAAACGAUGAGUGCUAAGUGUUAGAGGGUUUCCGCCCUUUAGUGCUGCAGCAAACGCAUUAAGCACUCCGCCUGGGGAGUACGGUCGCAAGACUGAAACUCAAAGGAAUUGACGGGGGCCCGCACAAGCGGUGGAGCAUGUGGUUUAAUUCGAAGCAACGCGAAGAACCUUACCAGGUCUUGACAUCCUCUGACACCCCUAGAGAUAGGGCUUCCCCUUCGGGGGCAGAGUGACAGGUGGUGCAUGGUUGUCGUCAGCUCGUGUCGUGAGAUGUUGGGUUAAGUCCCGCAACGAGCGCAACCCUUGAUCUUAGUUGC
RNAcentral lists this ribosomal RNA (1077 nucleotides) under Bacillus paralicheniformis. RNAcentral describes it as "bacterial SSU rRNA". It matches the Rfam family "Bacterial small subunit ribosomal RNA", at positions 60 to 1118 of the family's 1533-position model. Lineage: Bacteria; Bacillati; Bacillota; Bacilli; Caryophanales; Bacillaceae. The record is from RNAcentral.